GAUGAACGCUGGCGGCGUGCCUAAUACAUGCAAGUCGAGCGAACGGACGAGAAGCUUGCUUCUCUGGUGUUAGCGGCGGACGGGUGAGUAACACGUGGAUAGCCUACCUAUAAGACUGGGAUAACUUCGGGAAACCGGAGCUAAUACCGGAUGAUAUUUUGAACCGCAUGGUUCAAAAGUGAAAGACGGUCUUGCUGUCACUUAUAGAUGGAUCCGCGCUGCAUUAGCUAGUUGGUAAGGUAACGGCUUACCAAGGCAACGAUGCAUAGCCGACCUGAGAGGGUGAUCGGCCACACUGGAACUGAGACACGGUCCAGACUCCUACGGGAGGCAGCAGUGGGGAAUCUUCCGCAAUGGGCGAAAGCCUGACGGAGCAACGCCGCGUGAGUGAUGAAGGUCUUCGGAUCGUAAAACUCUGUUAUUAGGGAAGAACAUAUGUGUAAGUAACUGUGCACAUCUUGAUGGUACCUAAUCAGAAAGCCACGGCUAACUACGUG
RNAcentral lists this ribosomal RNA (497 nucleotides) under uncultured bacterium. Its description in RNAcentral is "partial 16S ribosomal RNA". It matches the Rfam family "Bacterial small subunit ribosomal RNA", at positions 28 to 507 of the family's 1533-position model. The record is from RNAcentral.